Molecule: non-coding RNA, 45 nt
Filed under: Trichobilharzia regenti
Lineage: Eukaryota; Metazoa; Platyhelminthes; Trematoda; Strigeidida; Schistosomatidae
Source: RNAcentral
AUGCAGAUGACGAGUCCUAAAUAGGACGAAAUGCGCAUCCUGGAC